AGCGCAGGCGGGAAGACAAGUUGGAAGUGAAAUCUAUGGGCUCAACCCAUAAACUGCUUUCAAAACUGUUUUUCUUAAGUAGUGCAGAGGUAGGCGGAAUUCCCGGUGUAGCGGUGGAAUGCGUAGAUAUCGGGAGGAACACCAGUGGCGAAGGCGGCCUACUGGGCACCAACUGACGCUGAGGCUCGAAAGUGUGGGUAGCAAACA
RNAcentral lists this ribosomal RNA (207 nucleotides) under uncultured bacterium. RNAcentral describes it as "partial 16S ribosomal RNA". It matches the Rfam family "Bacterial small subunit ribosomal RNA", at positions 568 to 774 of the family's 1533-position model. The record is from RNAcentral.